UACGUAGGGGGCUAGCGUUGCUCGGAAUUAUUGGGCGUAAAGAGCUCGUAGGCGGUUUGUCGCGUCUGCUGUGAAAAUCCAGGGCUUAACCCUGGACCUGCAGUGGGUACGGGCAGACUAGAGUGCGGUAGGGGAGAUCGGAAUUCCUGGUGUAGCGGUGAAAUGCGCAGAUAUCAGGAGGAACACCGGUGGCGAAGGCGGUGCUCUGGGCCGAAACUGACGCUGAGGAGCGAAAGCGUGGGUAGCAAACAGG
Molecule: ribosomal RNA, 253 nt
Filed under: uncultured bacterium
Lineage: Bacteria
Description: partial 16S ribosomal RNA
Rfam family: Bacterial small subunit ribosomal RNA
Source: RNAcentral